AACGCACCUUGCGCCCUUUGGUAUUCCGAAGGGCAUGCCUGUUUGAGUGUCAUGAAAUCUCACCUAAGGGUUUCCUUAGUGUGGACGUGGUCGUUGCCGUUGGCUCGACUUAAAUGACCCAGCGGUGGACGUGUAGUAGGCGUAAUAAGUUUCGUCUACGAUAGUGGUCGCUGCUCAGAACCCCCCCUAUUUUAUGCUCUGACCUCAAAUCAGGUAGGACUACCCGCUGAACUUAA
This 236-nucleotide unclassified non-coding RNA is filed under the name Sistotrema sp. RNAcentral describes it as "partial contains 5.8S ribosomal RNA, internal transcribed spacer 2, and large subunit ribosomal RNA". The stretch from base 1 to 52 matches the Rfam family "5.8S ribosomal RNA", at positions 103 to 154 of the family's 154-position model. The record is from RNAcentral. Lineage: Eukaryota; Fungi; Basidiomycota; Agaricomycetes; Cantharellales; Hydnaceae.